This 332-nucleotide ribosomal RNA is filed under the name Chironius exoletus. RNAcentral's name for it is "partial small subunit ribosomal RNA". The record is from RNAcentral. Lineage: Eukaryota; Metazoa; Chordata; Lepidosauria; Squamata; Colubridae.
ACUUAAAAUUUAAAAGACUUGACGGUACCUCACAACAACCUAGAGGAGCCUGUCUAAUAACCGAUACUCCACGAUCAACCCAACCCCCCCUAGCCCAACAGUCUAUAUACCGCCGUCGCCAGCCUACCCUGUGAAUGAAACAAAGUAAGCCAAAUAGUCAUACACUAACACGACAGGUCGAGGUGUAACUAAUGAGGGGGCCUAAGAUGGGCUACAUUUUCUGACACAGAAAACACGAAUAAACUAUGAAACAAGAAACUGAAGGCGGAUUUAGCAGUAUACUAAGAACAAAAUACAUAAUAGAAACCAACGCAAUGAGGUGCGUACACACC